GCAGAACCUCAUUAGAGCCGAAAAGCUUCGUCAAAAGCCACCUUUAAACCAGCCCCUAUUUUCUGGCCAUAAAACACCAUGAAAGCGGGUCAAAAUCAGCAGUGAAAUGCCAUCCAAAACACCCCCAAAAACGUCUUCAAAUCAGCCACCAAAACAUCACUAAAAUGAACCCAAAUCUCAGUCAAAACAACCUCUAAAACUCAGCUGAAAAUCAGCACCAAAUAGUCCCGAAACUCGGACUAAAACGCAGCAGCUAUUGCCUAUUUUUUCCCUCCCAAAACAGCCCAGAAAUUACCCCUGAAAAGCCAUGAAAAUCGUCCUUAAACAGCUCCAAAAAAUUAGCUGGUAAACAUCGCAAAAACCAUAUCGGACAAGGUCCGUUUGAGCUUCUGUCGAGUUCCCGUCGUCGACGUCGAGAGUUCCAAUUUUGGUUUGUAUAUGUGCCGUCAUUGUUUAACUUGAAGGAGCUAUUGCUUUGAGGACCUUUUACGAACAUGCAGAAAAUUCUUGUACAAGAAUUGGAUAGGGGCCUAAUCAACUGCACCUAAGAUCAGUAGGUGCUGCAUUCAACUGCACCUAACUCACAACAAUGUUUCUCUUCCAAUCAUGCAGAUCUUUGUUCUAUUUGGCAUCAAUGACUUGGUCAUGCACCAAUAGCAGUAUUGCAAAAAAAUUCUUCUUUGAAGGGUCAUUUGUCUCAUAAAAGAUCUCUGUCUUGUACUAUAUAUAUAUGUCCUUUAUCAAGUCAGACUAGAUCCCCUUUCCCCAUUAGUACUGAGAAAACUGUAUCCCCUUUUGAACUUGUACAUAUGAAUAUUUGGGAUCCAUAUGGAAAAAGUACUUACAAUGGUCAUAGAUUCUUUCUCACAUUGUGGAUGAUUACUCUAGGAUGACCUGGAUUUAUCUGAUAUGAAUGAAAAGUGAUGUGGUUGUUUUGA
Non-coding RNA from Nicotiana tabacum (common tobacco), 938 nucleotides. The record is from RefSeq and is a predicted model, not a curated record. NCBI's taxonomy places the organism in Eukaryota, Viridiplantae, Streptophyta, Magnoliopsida, Solanales, Solanaceae.